This 629-nucleotide ribosomal RNA is filed under the name uncultured bacterium. Its description in RNAcentral is "bacterial SSU rRNA". The stretch from base 1 to 538 matches the Rfam family "Bacterial small subunit ribosomal RNA", at positions 338 to 873 of the family's 1533-position model. The record is from RNAcentral.
CCUACGGGAGGCAGCAGUAGGGAAUAUUGGGCAAUGGAGGCAACUCUGACCCAGCCAUGCCGCGUGAACGAAGAAGGCGCUAUGCGUCGUAAAGUUCUUUUAGAGGGGGCGAAAACACUCGAUUUAUCGAGUACUGACGGUACCUUCGGAAUAAGCACCGGCUAACUCUGUGCCAGCAGCCGCGGUAAUACAGAGGGUGCAAGCGUUAUCCGGAAUCACUGGGUUUAAAGGGUGCGUAGGCGGGAUUAUAAGUCAGAGGUGAAAUCUCGUCGCUUAACGACGGAAUUGCCUUUGAUACUGUUUUUCUUGAAAUAUGUUGAGGUUGGCGGAAUGAGACAUGUAGCGGUGAAAUGCUUAGAUAUGUCUUAGAACACCGAUUGCGAAGGCAGCUGACUGGACAUUAUUUGACGCUGAGGCACGAAAGCGUGGGGAUCAAACAGGAUUAGAUACCCUGGUAGUCCCACGACCUAACGAUAGUUACUUGUCUGUUGUUCUUCGGUAGUGUAGUGGCGAGACGAAGACGAUAAGUAAACCAACCGUACGGGAGGUACGCCCGCCGACGGUAGGAACGUACGAAGGAAGUUAGACGGCGUGAGACGUGCCGAACGGACGACGACGACGGGAGGAGG